Mustela lutreola (European mink) is the source of this 491-nucleotide long non-coding RNA. RefSeq lists it as uncharacterized. The transcript has 3 exons. Lineage: Eukaryota; Metazoa; Chordata; Mammalia; Carnivora; Mustelidae. The record is from RefSeq and is a predicted model, not a curated record.
AAGUAGGGUCACAAACUUUUAGGGAUCCUGAUUGAAACCGGUGUGAUACAUAUACAGUCCUGGUAAAAUAGGAUUUGUUUGUUUGUUUGAAUCAGGAACGCCAGCUACUACAUCUGCGUCUACAGCAGGUUUCAGUUUAGGAUUCAGUAAACCUGCCGCAUCUGCCACACCAUUUGCUCUCCCUAUUACUUCUACCUCAGCUAGGGGUCUUACUCUUUCCUCUGCUAUGACGUCAACUCCAGCAGGAUCUUACAGGAUUUUCUGUAAAUAAUUUGGGCGGAACAACAGCUACAACUACUACCCCAUCAACAAGCCUUUCCUUAGGGGGAGCCUUAGCUGGGAGGUUCACUUUUCCAGAGUUCAAAUACAGCCACAUCAGGAUUUGGACAGAAUGCUUUAGGCUUGACUUUGGGAACCACAGCAGCUACUUCAACUGCAGGCAAUGAAGGUCUUGGUGGUAUAGAUUUUCGUACCUCAUCGGAUAAAAAGAG